RNAcentral lists this unclassified non-coding RNA (216 nucleotides) under Hevea brasiliensis (rubber tree). The record is from RNAcentral. Lineage: Eukaryota; Viridiplantae; Streptophyta; Magnoliopsida; Malpighiales; Euphorbiaceae.
GAGGUCGCUUGGGACUGAGAGUCUUGUUGUUUGUUGGUGCUGGCGCAUUGGAUUUUGGAGGUGCAAGGGAGUUUUUGGAGAGAAGGGGACAGAGAGAAGAGUGGUGCGGAGCAAGGGAAAGACAGAAGAGGGAAGAGAGUGGCGAGGAACAGAGAGAGAGGGAAGAGAAGAGACCUUGAGUGGCAUGGUUACUUCAGUUGGUUGGUUGGUUGCUUG